CACGUAGGGUGCGAGCGUUGUCCGGAAUUAUUGGGCGUAAAGAGCUCGUAGGCGGUGUGUCGCGUCGACCGUGAAAACCUGCAGCUUAACUGUGGGCGUGCGGUCGAUACGGGCAUCACUGGAGUUCGGCAGGGGAGACUGGAAUUCCUGGUGUAGCAGUGAAAUGCGUAGAUAUCAGGAGGAAUACCGAUGGCGAAGGCAGGUCUCUGGGCUGACACUGACGCUCAUGCACGAAAGCGUGGGGAGCAAACAGG
Molecule: ribosomal RNA, 254 nt
Filed under: uncultured bacterium
Lineage: Bacteria
Description: partial 16S ribosomal RNA
Rfam family: Bacterial small subunit ribosomal RNA
Source: RNAcentral